GGGGCGGUGGCGGAAUAGGCAGACGCAGUGGACUUAAAAUCCACCGGCCGCAAGGCUGUGAGGGUUCGACCCCCUCUCGCCCCA
Molecule: transfer RNA, 84 nt
Filed under: Chloroflexi bacterium GWB2_49_20
Lineage: Bacteria; Bacillati; Chloroflexota
Also listed under: 3 other names
Description: tRNA-Leu
Rfam family: tRNA
About the family: Transfer RNA (tRNA) molecules are approximately 80 nucleotides in length. Their secondary structure includes four short double-helical elements and three loops (D, anti-codon, and T loops).
Source: RNAcentral